GGGAACGCGAAGAACCUUACCUACCCUUGACAUGGCUGGAAUCCCCGAGAGAUUGGGGAGUGCUCGAAAGAGAACCAGUACACAGGUGCUGCAUGGCGUCGUCAGCUCGUGUCGUGAGAUGUUGGGUUAAGUCCCGCAACGAGCGCAACCCUUGUCAUUAGUUGCUACGAAAGGGCACUCUAAUGAGACUGCCGGUGACAAACCGGAGGAAGGUGGGGAUGACGUCAAGUCCUCAUGGCCCUUAUGGGUAGGGCUUCACACGUCAUACAAUGGUACAUACAGAGCGCCGCCAACCCGCGAGGGGGAGCUAAUCGCAGAAAGUGUAUCGUAGUCCGGAUUGUAGUCUGCAACUCGACUGCAUGAAGUUGGAAUCG
RNAcentral lists this ribosomal RNA (374 nucleotides) under uncultured Janthinobacterium sp. Its description in RNAcentral is "bacterial SSU rRNA". It matches the Rfam family "Bacterial small subunit ribosomal RNA", at positions 955 to 1334 of the family's 1533-position model. The record is from RNAcentral. Lineage: Bacteria; Pseudomonadati; Pseudomonadota; Betaproteobacteria; Burkholderiales; Oxalobacteraceae.